GCCUCCUGACUAACCAUAAGAGGUCAAGCCUGCCCAGUGACAUUGUUCAACGGCCGCGGUAUCCUAACCGUGCGAAGGUAGCGUAAUCACUUGUUCUUUAAAUGAGGACUAGUAUGAAUGGCUUCACGAAUGCUAUACUGUCUCCUUUAUCCAAUCAGUUAAACUAAUCUCCCCGUGAAGAAGCGGGGAUUUUUCUAUAAGACGAGAAGACCCUGUGGAGCUUUAAACAUCUUUUAACAUUUGAACUUCUCACUUUACUUUCAGAAAAUUAUACUAAGCCCAUCAUUUUGUUUAAAGUUUUAGGUUGGGGUGACCCCGGAGAAAAACAUACCCUCCACGUAGAAAGAAGUUUCCUUUCUAAGCAAAAAGCCACAUCUUUAUGCAUCAAAAUAUUUGACCUAUAUUGACCCAAUUAUUUGAUCAACGAACUAAGUUACCCU
This 440-nucleotide ribosomal RNA is filed under the name Allobates amissibilis. RNAcentral's name for it is "partial large subunit ribosomal RNA". It matches the Rfam family "Bacterial large subunit ribosomal RNA", at positions 1830 to 2469 of the family's 2925-position model. Lineage: Eukaryota; Metazoa; Chordata; Amphibia; Anura; Aromobatidae. The record is from RNAcentral.